RNAcentral lists this ribosomal RNA (207 nucleotides) under uncultured bacterium. RNAcentral's name for it is "partial 16S ribosomal RNA". It matches the Rfam family "Bacterial small subunit ribosomal RNA", at positions 524 to 729 of the family's 1533-position model. The record is from RNAcentral.
UACGUAGGGGGGCAAGCGUUGUCCGGAUUUACUGGGCGUAAAGAGCGUGUAGGCGGCCACGCAGGUCCGUUGUGAAAACUGGAGGCUCAACCUCCAGCUGUCGACGGAAACCGUAUGGCUAGAGUCCGGAAGAGGAGAGUGGAAUUCCUGGUGUAGCGGUGAAAUGCGCAGAUAUCAGGAAGAACACCAAUGGCGAAGGCAGCUCUC